GAGGGUAUAGCUCAAGUAGUAGAGCACGUGUUUAGCACGCACAAGGUCUUGGGUUCAAUCCCCAAUACCUCCU
This 73-nucleotide transfer RNA is filed under the name Camelus bactrianus (Bactrian camel). It matches the Rfam family "tRNA". Rfam says of the family: Transfer RNA (tRNA) molecules are approximately 80 nucleotides in length. Their secondary structure includes four short double-helical elements and three loops (D, anti-codon, and T loops). Further hydrogen bonds mediate the characteristic L-shaped molecular structure. tRNAs have two regions of fundamental functional importance: the anti-codon, which is responsible for specific mRNA codon recognition, and the 3' end, to which the tRNAs corresponding amino acid is attached (by aminoacyl-tRNA synthetases). tRNAs cope with the degeneracy of the genetic code in two manners: having more than one tRNA (with a specific anti-codon) for a particular amino acid; and 'wobble' base-pairing, i.e. permitting non-standard base-pairing at the 3rd anti-codon position. Lineage: Eukaryota; Metazoa; Chordata; Mammalia; Artiodactyla; Camelidae. RNAcentral also lists the same sequence under 2 other names. The record is from Rfam by way of RNAcentral.